RNAcentral lists this ribosomal RNA (273 nucleotides) under uncultured bacterium. RNAcentral's name for it is "partial 16S ribosomal RNA". It matches the Rfam family "Bacterial small subunit ribosomal RNA", at positions 1228 to 1500 of the family's 1533-position model. The record is from RNAcentral.
CAAUGGCGUAAACAAAGGGAAGCGAAGUGGCGACAUGGAGCAAAUCCCAAAAAUAACGUCCCAGUUCGGAUUGUAGUCUGCAACCCGACUACAUGAAGCCGGAAUCGCUAGUAAUCGCGGAUCAGAAUGCCGCGGUGAAUACGUUCCCGGGUCUUGUACACACCGCCCGUCACACCAUGGGAGUUGGAAAUGCCCGAAGUCAGUGGCCCAACCGGAAGGGGGGAGCUGCCGAAGGCAGGUUCGAUGACUGGGGUGAAGUCGUAACAAGGUACC